Molecule: ribosomal RNA, 1062 nt
Filed under: actinobacterium 259(7)
Lineage: Bacteria; Bacillati; Actinomycetota; Actinomycetes
Description: bacterial SSU rRNA
Rfam family: Bacterial small subunit ribosomal RNA
Source: RNAcentral
AGUCCUUUGGGAAGGGGGAAAGACGGCCUUGCGGGUUGUAAACCUCUUUUCCCCCAGGGAAGAAGCGUGAGUGACGGUACCUGCAGAAGAAGCGCCGGCUAACUACGUGCCAGCAGCCGCGGUAAUACGUAGGGCGCAAGCGUUGUCCGGAAUUAUUGGGCGUAAAGAGCUCGUAGGCGGCUUGUCACGUCGGAUGUGAAAGCCCGGGGCUUAACUCCGGGUCUGCAUUCGAUACGGGCUAGCUAAAGUGUGGUAGGGGAGAUCGGAAUUCCUGGUGUAGCGGUGAAAUGCCCAAAUAUCAGGAGGAACACCGGGGGCGAAGGCGGAUCUCUGGGCCAUUACUGACGCUGAGGAGCGAAAGCGUGGGGAGCGAACAGGAUUAGAUACCCUGGUAGUCCACCCCGUAAACGUUGGGAACUAGGUGUUGGCGACUUUCCACGUCGUCGGUGCCGCAGCUAACGCAUUAAGUUCCCCGCCUGGGGGAGUACGGCCGCAAGGCUAAAACUCAAAGGAAUUGACGGGGGCCCGCACAAGCAGCGGAGCAUGUGGGCUUAUUUCCACGCAACGCGAAAAACCCUUACCAAGGCUUUGACAUAUACCCGGAAAGCAUCAAAAAUGGUGGCCCCCCUUUGUGGUCGGUAUACGGGUGGCGCAUUGGCUGUCGUCACCUCGUGUCGUGAAAUGUUGGGUUAAGUUCCCGCAACAAACCCAACCCUUUGUUCUAUGUUUCCCACCUUGCCUUUUCCGGGUGAUGGGGGACUCAACGGAAGACUGCCGGGGUCCACCUCGGAAGGAAGGUGGGGACGAACAUCAGGUCAUCAUGCCCCUUAUUGUCUUGGGCCUGCCCACGUGCUACAAUGGCCGUAUCCAAUGUACUGCGAAUCCUUGAGGCGGAGCCAAAUCUCCAAAAAAGCCGGUCUCGAUUCGGUAUUGGGUGUCUGUCAGCUCCGACCCCCCUCCAGAUCGGAAGUUGCUGAUUAUCAACAAAUGAGGCAUUUGCUUGCCGACCGAAACAUAUUCACUGGGGCUUGGUGUGCUGCACACGCGCAUAAUGAUAUUACU